AGAAAUUUUACUCCUGACAGCAGAUGCAACGGAAACAAUCAAACAACGCUACUGAUAAAAAGCGCUUGGUUUUGCAAUAUUUCAUCAGUCCUUCAAAAGAAAUAACAUGAACAAUUCAGCACUUCUACUUUUGCUUCUCAUCGGACUUCUCGUCCUCACUGAAACUACUACUGCUUGGUGGCUUCGUCGUCGUCGUCGUCGUCGUAAUAUCGCUUAUAAUCAAGAAGAAAUGCGAGAAAUGAAUGAAAAUUUAGACAUGAAUUUAAUCAAAUGGAUGACUGACGAA
Ciona intestinalis (vase tunicate) is the source of this 286-nucleotide non-coding RNA. NCBI's taxonomy places the organism in Eukaryota, Metazoa, Chordata, Ascidiacea, Phlebobranchia, Cionidae. The record is from RefSeq and is a predicted model, not a curated record.